UUAGAUUGGUUAUAGAUGAAUUGAAGUUAGUAGUUGGCUAUACUAUUGAACUUGCUCUAACAGCAAGUUUUAUAGUAUAGCCCACUACUAGCUCUAAAUCAUCUAUAGCUA
RNAcentral lists this microRNA precursor (111 nucleotides) under Oryza longistaminata (longstamen rice). RNAcentral describes it as "pre miRNA mir-75". The record is from RNAcentral. Lineage: Eukaryota; Viridiplantae; Streptophyta; Magnoliopsida; Poales; Poaceae.